RNAcentral lists this ribosomal RNA (253 nucleotides) under uncultured bacterium. Its description in RNAcentral is "partial 16S ribosomal RNA". It matches the Rfam family "Bacterial small subunit ribosomal RNA", at positions 524 to 776 of the family's 1533-position model. The record is from RNAcentral.
UACGUAGGUGGCGAGCGUUGUCCGGAAUUACUGGGUGUAAAGGGCGUGUAGGCGGGGAAACAAGUCAGAUGUGAAAUUCUGGGGCUCAACCCCAGUGCUGCAUCUGAAACUGUAUCUCUUGAGUGCUGGAGAGGAAAGCGGAAUUCCUAGUGUAGCGGUGAAAUGCGUAGAUAUUAGGAGGAACACCAGUGGCGAAGGCGGCUUUCUGGACAGUAACUGACGCUGAGGCGCGAAAGCGUGGGGAGCAAACAGG